UACGGAGGGGGCUAGCGUUGUUCGGAAUUACUGGGCGUAAAGCGCGCGUAGGCGGAUCUGCAAGUCGGGGGUGAAAUCCCGAGGCUCAACCUCGGAACUGCCUUCGAUACUGCGGAUCUCGAGUCCGGGAGAGGUGAGUGGAAUUCCUAGUGUAGAGGUGAAAUUCGUAGAUAUUAGGAAGAACACCAGUGGCGAAGGCGGCUCACUGGCCCGGUACUGACGCUGAGGCGCGAAAGCGUGGGGAGCAAACAGG
RNAcentral lists this ribosomal RNA (253 nucleotides) under uncultured bacterium. RNAcentral describes it as "partial 16S ribosomal RNA". It matches the Rfam family "Bacterial small subunit ribosomal RNA", at positions 524 to 776 of the family's 1533-position model. The record is from RNAcentral.